UUUUUUUUUUUUUUGGUAGGCUAUGGUAUGUAGUUUAUGAUUCUCAUAACAUUUUUAGGGUAAUCUUUGGUUUGAUGCCAGGAUGUUUUUUUUAGUAAUAAAUAUUGCAUGAAUCGUUAUUUGAUGGAUUGAAGUUGAUGUGUUAUAUAUUUAGGUCUAGGCGAGUUGGGGAAACUUUAAGUGGGAAGUUAAAGGCUAUUUCUUCCAUUUCUCUUAUCUAGCUUAUAUAUUUAGGUCUUAUUUGGUUGGGA
Molecule: unclassified non-coding RNA, 251 nt
Filed under: Hevea brasiliensis (rubber tree)
Lineage: Eukaryota; Viridiplantae; Streptophyta; Magnoliopsida; Malpighiales; Euphorbiaceae
Source: RNAcentral